GGAUGAAUAUUGGUCAAUGGACGCAAGUCUGAACCAGCCAUGCCGCGUGCAGGAAGAAGGUGCUAUGCAUUGUAAACUGCUUUUAUACGGGGUAGGUUAUCAGAUACGUGUAUCUGGUUGAAAGUACCGUAUGAAUAAGGAUCGGCUAACUCCGUGCCAGCAGCCGCGGUAAUACGGAGGAUCCGAGCGUUAUCCGGAUUUAUUGGGUUUAAAGGGUGCGUAGGCGGUCAGGUAAGUUAGAGGUGAAAGCUCGAUGCUCAACAUCGAAACUGCCUCUGAUACUGUCUGACUAGAGUGUAGUUGCGGAAGGCGGAAUGUGUGGUGUAGCGGUGAAAUGCUUAGAUAUCACACAGAACACCGAUUGCGAAGGCAGCUUUCCAAGCUAUUACUGACGCUGAGGCACGAAAGCGUGGGGAGCGAACAGGAUUAGAUACC
RNAcentral lists this ribosomal RNA (435 nucleotides) under uncultured bacterium. Its description in RNAcentral is "bacterial SSU rRNA". It matches the Rfam family "Bacterial small subunit ribosomal RNA", at positions 355 to 786 of the family's 1533-position model. The record is from RNAcentral.